AAGUCGUAACAAGGUUGGACAGCAAAGUCAAUGAUCUUUCCGUGUGUGGGUUGCGUCGUCACAGACGCAGCUCGCAGACUGGUUCAUUUGCUGAAGCCUUAGCAGUCGUGGUAGUAAGAUAUCCUAUUAACUUAUUUCACCCCCUUUUUGCUAGUUGACUUUUAUAUGUUGUUCUUUGCGCUUGCGCAUGGAUCACACGUUUAAUUAUUUGAACGUUAAAAAUACAACUCUUAGCAAUGGAUAUCUAGGUUCUC
Molecule: unclassified non-coding RNA, 254 nt
Filed under: fungal sp.
Lineage: Eukaryota; Fungi
Description: partial internal transcribed spacer region
Source: RNAcentral